CUCGCUACUUAGAUGCUUGUUAGUUGGCUUACUAAGUAGUUAAAUUAUUCAACUAACUAAACUUGUAGAUGUUUAUGUAUUUUCUAUUUUUGGACGUGGGUUCGAAUCCCACCGCCUCCACCA
Molecule: transfer-messenger RNA, 123 nt
Filed under: Mycoplasmatota bacterium
Lineage: Bacteria; Bacillati; Mycoplasmatota
Description: Tenericutes bacterium (anaerobic digester metagenome) partial transfer-messenger RNA
Rfam family: transfer-messenger RNA
About the family: Bacterial tmRNA, also known as 10Sa RNA or SsrA, is named for its dual tRNA and mRNA-like properties. Its role is to liberate the mRNA from a stalled ribosome.
Source: RNAcentral